Trichechus manatus latirostris (Florida manatee) is the source of this 445-nucleotide long non-coding RNA. RefSeq lists it as uncharacterized. The transcript is spliced from 4 exons. The record is from RefSeq and is a predicted model, not a curated record. NCBI's taxonomy places the organism in Eukaryota, Metazoa, Chordata, Mammalia, Sirenia, Trichechidae.
CUGCAUUGUAUGAAACUUCCCUGCCCUCUUCCCGACGUCCCGCACCUUCUAGCACCUUCCCGCACCGUCGCCUCUUUCCCGGCCGCCAUCCUGCGCUGUAGGUCAGGGCGCCUCGGGAGGAUCUGUGACUGCUGUUCCUUGUGUGAGAAGUGUCCUCAGGGAGAGCGUGGAUUGUGAGGUCCCAGAUGAGUCCGUGGUGUGCAGGGGCUCCAUGGGAGUUGUCAUUAUGUCAAGAACACUGAGGGGAUGCUGCCUUGGAUCCAGAGAUCAUUGAUGCAGACUCCAACAUGAUUGAGGCACGGAUGAUGACCUGGGUUCCCCAGGUCCCCUGGAGGGGCCUUCUCAUGGUAAGUUAAUGUCAAGAGGCUAAGUUGGUCUAUGUUGCUGCAGAUGGAAAUUCCAAGCCUUUGACUUUCUCCUUUGGAUUAUUUUGAGUUGAUCUUGG